Molecule: ribosomal RNA, 496 nt
Filed under: uncultured archaeon
Lineage: Archaea
Description: bacterial SSU rRNA
Rfam family: Archaeal small subunit ribosomal RNA
Source: RNAcentral
UAAAGGAAUUGGCGGGGGAGCACCACAAGGGGUGAAGCCUGCGGUUCAAUUGGAGUCAACGCCAGAAAUCUUACCCGGAGAGACAGCAGAAUGAAGGUCAAGCUGAAGACUUUACCAGACAAGCUGAGAGGUGGUGCAUGGCCGUCGCCAGCUCGUGCCGUGAGAUGUCCUGUUAAGUCAGGUAACGAGCGAGAUCCCUGCCGCUAGUUGCUAUCAUUAUUCUCAGGAAUAGUGGAGCGAAUUAGUGGGACUGCCGUUGUUAAAACGGAGGAAGGAAGGGGCUACGGCAGGUCAGUAUGCCCCGAAACUCUGGGGCCACACGCGGGCUGCAAUGGUAGUGACAAUGAGUUCCAAACUCGAAAGAGAGUGGCAAUCUCUAAACGCUACCACAGUUAUGACUGAGGGCUGUAACUCGCCCUCACGAAUAUGGAAUCCCUAGUAACCGCGUGUCAUUACCGCGCGGUGAAUACGUCCCUGCUCCUUGCACAAACCGCCA